RNAcentral lists this transfer RNA (72 nucleotides) under Capra hircus (goat). It matches the Rfam family "tRNA". From Rfam's summary of the family: Transfer RNA (tRNA) molecules are approximately 80 nucleotides in length. Their secondary structure includes four short double-helical elements and three loops (D, anti-codon, and T loops). RNAcentral also lists the same sequence under 4 other names. The record is from Rfam by way of RNAcentral. Lineage: Eukaryota; Metazoa; Chordata; Mammalia; Artiodactyla; Bovidae.
UCCCUGGUGGCUCAGACGGUAAAGCGUCUGCCUACAAUGCAGGAGACCCGGGUUCGAUUCCUGGGUCGGGAA